AAGCGCCCCAGUUCGGAUUGCAGGCUGCAACCCGCCUGCAUGAAGCCGGAAUCGCUAGUAAUCGCGGAUCAGAAUGCCGCGGUGAAUACGUUCCCGGGUCUUGUACACACCGCCCGUCACACCAUGGGAGUCGGGAAUGCCCGAAGUCAGUGGCCCAACCGGAAGGGGGGAGCUGCCGAAGGCAGGCCCGGUGACUGGGGUGAAGUCGUAACAAGGUAGC
Molecule: ribosomal RNA, 220 nt
Filed under: uncultured bacterium
Lineage: Bacteria
Description: partial 16S ribosomal RNA
Rfam family: Bacterial small subunit ribosomal RNA
Source: RNAcentral